ACUCAGGACCUGAGGGACACCAUGUGAUGCAUGUUUUAUUAGAAUUGUUUCUAAACAGCCAAUAGAACUGCAUGAGGCUCUCUGCUGCCCCCACUAGCUCUGGAGCCGACCGAUGCCCAACAUAAGUUCAUAUUCUCUGGAAAUUGUUGGAGGUUGAGCUUCGUGUAAGAUUUUGGAGACAGACAGUGCCAAAAUAAAACCAUCAAGAGAUUAGCAGUGCCCUUCAGAUGGACAAACACAGGAACAUGAAGACAGAUCUAUUUCUCCAUUUUCAACUUGUAUAUUGCUAGUAGAACCAGAGCAACCCAAGACAUCCCGUCUCGUCUUUAUUUGGAGAGAUGGGUUAGCAGUUGUCUGCACUAUAAAAAGCAAUGUUAAUAUCCCCUCAG
Sinocyclocheilus grahami is the source of this 389-nucleotide long non-coding RNA. RefSeq lists it as uncharacterized. NCBI's taxonomy places the organism in Eukaryota, Metazoa, Chordata, Actinopteri, Cypriniformes, Cyprinidae. The transcript has 4 exons. The record is from RefSeq and is a predicted model, not a curated record.